Molecule: ribosomal RNA, 253 nt
Filed under: uncultured bacterium
Lineage: Bacteria
Description: partial 16S ribosomal RNA
Rfam family: Bacterial small subunit ribosomal RNA
Source: RNAcentral
GACGGAGGAUGCAAGCGUUAUCCGGAAUGAUUGGGCGUAAAGCGUCCGCAGGUGGCAGUUCAAGUCUGCUGUCAAAGACCGGGGCUUAACUUCGGAAAGGCAGUGGAAACUGAACAGCUAGAGUAUGGUAGGGGCAGAGGGAAUUCCUGGUGUAGCGGUGAAAUGCGUAGAGAUCAGGAAGAACAUCGGUGGCGAAGGCGCUCUGCUGGACCAUAACUGACGCUGAGGAGCGAAAGCGUGGGGAGCGAACAGG